UUGCUUCUUUUGGCAGCACAUAUAUCAAAAUGAAAACGAUACAGGGAUUAGCAUGGUCCCUGUGCAAGGAUGACAUGCAAAUUUGUGAAGUGUUCCAUCCUCUU
This is a small nuclear RNA of Meriones unguiculatus (Mongolian gerbil), 104 nucleotides long. The record is from Ensembl. Lineage: Eukaryota; Metazoa; Chordata; Mammalia; Rodentia; Muridae.